UUUCCGUAGGUGAACCUGCGGAAGGAUCAUUAGUAGAACGGGACGGCCCCCGCUUCCGGCGGUGGACGGCCCCACCUCCUAAUUCUCACCCUGUGCACCGUGUCACCCUUUUUUCGCCCCUGUGCGAUCGAAAAGUGAAGUCACGAAGUCGAAACGAAACACGAGAAGCAUAAAAUGAAGCAACGGAUCUCUUGGCUCUCGCAUCGAUGAAGAACGCAGC
This 220-nucleotide unclassified non-coding RNA is filed under the name uncultured fungus. RNAcentral describes it as "sequence contains ITS1, 5.8S rRNA gene". The stretch from base 172 to 220 matches the Rfam family "5.8S ribosomal RNA", at positions 1 to 49 of the family's 154-position model. The record is from RNAcentral. Lineage: Eukaryota; Fungi.